CUGAAGGCCAUUAUAACAACAGAGGGAGUUUACUUUGUACGCGCCAAAGGAAUCCCAUCACCCGAGUCGAUUGUAUUAUUAGUGAAAUAUGCAGAUUUGUUUGAAUGCCAGCCUCUCUUCGGUGAUGGUAAACAUUAUAUCGAACUUGUAAUGAAUGCUGAUAACAGCACGGUGCCGACGCCUUCGAAAAACCCCAGCAAACGACCACGUGUUCGAUGUGACGAUCAAAAAAUUGCGCAAAAGGUCUCGCAAAAAAUCAACUACUCCAAGAACUUGUACGACGAAGUGAAGCAAACCGUUACACCAGAACCCAAAGAAACGCUCUCGCCGAGCGCGUCAUUCGACAGAGAUUAAUGACGUCAUGAAAGAAGAGGCUACGUCACCAGCAGGUUGGUCACCAUAAAGACUAUUGGCGUCAUAAUUGGAUUUGCCAUGCUUCGUCAAUAAUAAUGACGUCAUAGUUGUCACUCAAGUGACGUCAUCNUUAAGCACCAUUGGAAUUUUUGACGUCAUUGUCAUGUUACUUAGCAUUGUGCUAAUGACGUAAUAGUAAGAUUAAGGACGGUGGAAACUUGUGACGUCAUCAUUUUGCAUCAUUUUGCUUUGACGUCACUUCUCAGCAAGUCACCAUGGAGACGCAUCACCAUGGAAGUGCAUUGACAUUUGCAUUAAACUUUUUGAGUCAGAAAUAAUAGUUUCCAAAGAUGAAUCAAUACACGACGAAUUCUAAAAAAUACAUCGCUGCGCUGGCUCAAAAAUACCAAGAAACGAAUGAUUUUUAUACAAUUAUAAUUAAAAAGCAAACGAUCUUAGGCAUAGUUUCUUUUCAAAUUUCCCUUGAAGCCACGGCCGAACGAGAAACUGUUGUUUUAGAAAACAAAUUCAUCAGUCAAGAGAACAGAAAAAAUAUCUUUAGACCGACUCCAUAAUCCCUAUUUUUUUUUUUCUUCUCGUAUUUUGUUGUUGCUGUUGUUGUUGUUGUUGUUGCUGCUGCUGUUGUUGUUUUUCGUGUAAACUCCAUUCAGCAAUCGAACCAACAUCUAAGACGUUCAAACAGCACAAAUAUAAGGUCGCACAAGAUGAGUCAACAUUUCUCGUUCAGCUUGANGCUCAGGUUGCCUUGUUAUUAGAAUUUGCUAAUAACGUUAGCAAGAAAUGUUUUUUUUGACUUAUUACACAGUAAUAUUUUAAUUUUAUAAAAUAUUUCUCUUAAUUGCAGUGUUUUAAAUUGCAAUUUUUAAAGUGUUUGCAGUGAAUUCUAAACAAAUUCUAAAACAAGGCUUUUUGUCCGCUGUGUCGAUGUGCAAGAUUGUUUAAAAUUUAAGAAUUAGAUAUAACGGAUUAAAAUUUUAGCGGAUUAUAUUUGCAUCAAAUAAAACAUAGAUUAAUAGUUUUUAUAUAAAGAUUCUUAAAAUUUCGUGAAAAGUUGAUUACGGGAUUGUUCAAUGGUAAGGUCAUGAGCAAAAGGUCAAGGGUUUGGACCUGGCGGGUUUGAAAAGUAAAAAUAUAUGACUUACGAUUUUUGUAAAGCGCGCUAUGUGAAAUUUUUUCAGAAAAAGUAGAUAAUGUUCGAAUUACCCAUGUUUAGAAUUACAAAUGUUUAGAAUUCACUGUAUUUAGAAACAACUGCUUUAGUUUGUAAAAUAAUCAAAGUAUUUUGCAAAAUUUUGGUAUAGAUAUUCGUUGUACUUGUAAAUAAGAUCACAAUAGGCCAAUGAAUUUGCUUUUUUCUACGA
Molecule: long non-coding RNA, 1736 nt
Filed under: Exaiptasia diaphana
Lineage: Eukaryota; Metazoa; Cnidaria; Anthozoa; Actiniaria; Aiptasiidae
Description: uncharacterized LOC110238142
Source: RNAcentral